RNAcentral lists this long non-coding RNA (338 nucleotides) under Delphinapterus leucas (beluga whale). Its description in RNAcentral is "lncRNA (ENSDLEG00000019892.1)". Lineage: Eukaryota; Metazoa; Chordata; Mammalia; Artiodactyla; Monodontidae. The record is from RNAcentral.
AGAAAGCCCGAACCCCCAGGUCUUGAGCCAUGUCCAGGGUUUCACGGUAUGUCCACACACGGGAUUUCACUGCAGCCUUGAUGGGUUGAAGCCAUCUGCGGCCCUACGAGUGCAGUGGUGCUCAUUGACGCCAGAGGAAAGGGUCACAGCCAGCGCCUUGAGUGGCCCUCCCGGCCUACUGCGGGAAACAGCCUAGAGGUGAGUGAAGUCCAUGACAAUGAGAGUAGUAACAAUAAUCCUAGCUCUGCUAGUUGAGUGUUCACUCUGUUAGGGACUGUUCUAAGGGUUCCGCAAGCAUGAUUUAAUCCUUAAAGCCACCGUAAGAGAAAGAUACUGUU